GAAGAACUUAUAGGAUCUCUCAUGACUCAUGAGUUGAGUAUAAAUUAGAAUGCAGAAGAAGUGAAAAAUCAUUAUACUGAAAUCAUCUGCAUUGGAAGAGCUAGAAAGUAAUACAUCUGAAAAUUCAAACAAUGAAGAUGAAAUGGUAAUGAUUACUUAAAGAUUUAAGAGGUUCAUGAGAAGAAAAAAAAUUCUUUCCCAAAAGGAAAGGAUACACAAGACGAGGAGG
RNAcentral lists this long non-coding RNA (229 nucleotides) under Elaeis guineensis (African oil palm). RNAcentral describes it as "long non-coding RNA (EGUI_LNC033405)". The record is from RNAcentral. Lineage: Eukaryota; Viridiplantae; Streptophyta; Magnoliopsida; Arecales; Arecaceae.